AUGUCAUCGCUUCAGUUAUUGCAACUUACGGAGCAUGGGCGAAACCUUUUUUCUUCUAGAAGGAGGACGCUUGCAGUUGUUUCUGGCGCACUACUUGCUGGUGGUACUUUAGCAUAUGCGCAGUCAGGUCGACGGAGGAAACAUCGGGAAGAAAAUCAUUCUAAUGAUGGAAAUGCACAUACCAGGAGUAAAGAGGGCAUUAGUCAAAAUGGUGUUGAUGGUAAAGUGGUAAAGACAAGGAAAAAGAAAAAUUUAUUGAAAUCCUUACAUUUCCUGGCUGCCAUUUUACUUAAGAAGAUUGGCCCAAGUGGAACAAAUUACCUUCUUGGCUUGAUGUUAACAGCAGUGUUACGUACAGCCAUUGGUCACAGAUUAGCAAAAGUUCAAGGGUAUUUGUUCAAAUCCGCGUUUCUUCGGCGUGUUCCGGCCUUCACACGCCUAAUCAUUGAAAAUCUUCUAUUAUGCUUUCUUCAGUCCACGGUAUAUCAGACCUCAAAGUACUUGACAGGAUCCUUAAGCUUGCGCUUCAAGAAAAUUUUGACGGAUCUCAUCCAUGCUGAUUACUUUGAGAAUAUGGUUUACUACAAGAUCUCACAUGUAGAUCAUCGGAUUUCAAACCCAGAGCAAAGGAUUGCUAGUGAUAUUCCUAAGUUCUGCGCAGGACUAAGUGACCUUGUACAAGAUGAUCUGAUUGCAGUUGCAGAUGGGUUAAUAUACAUCUGGCGCAUCUGUUCUUAUGCAAGUCCGAAAUAUGUUCUCUGGAUUCUGGCAUAUGUACUUGGUGCUGGUGGCACAAUUAGAAAAUUUUCCCCUUCUUUUGGGAAGUUGAAAGCCAUGGAACAACAACUAGAAGGGGAAUAUCGCCAGGUUCAUUCACGACUGAGAACUCAUGCUGAGAGCGUGGCAUUUUAUGGUGGUGAGAACAGCGAAGAAUCGCACAUUAUGCAGCGGUUCCAGGCUCUUGUGCGGCACGUGAAUGUUGUUCUUCAUGAGAACUGGUGGUUUGGCAUGAUUCAGGAUUUUCUUCUGAAGUAUCUUGGUGCCACAGUGGGAGUUAUCUUGAUUGUCGAACCUUUCUUUGCGGGAGAUCUUAAACCUGAUACAUCUACUUUAGGACGGGCAGAGAUGUUGAGUAAUCUUCGUUAUCACACAAGUGUGAUAAUAUCAUUAUUCCAGUCCCUUGGCACCCUUUCUACCAGUUCAAGACGUUUAAAUCUUCUCAGUGGCUAUGCAGACCGUAUUCAUGAGUUACUGGAUGUUUCACGUGAGCUAUCUGGGGUUCGUGACAGAUCAAUGAGCCGAAAUUCUUCUGCCAAAAAUUAUAUUAGUGAGGCAAACUAUAUAGAAUUUUCAGGUGUUAAGGUGGUGACACCCUCUGGGAAUGUCUUGGUUGAUGAUUUAACUCUCCGGGUGGAGUCGGGUUCUAAUCUUUUGAUCACUGGUCCCAACGGUAGUGGAAAAAGCUCUCUUUUCCGUGUUCUUGGGGGUCUGUGGCCACUUGUAUCUGGCCACAUUGUCAAACCUGGUGUUGGUUCUAAUCUUAACAAGGAAAUCUUUUAUGUCCCCCAGCGACCAUAUACAGCUGUCGGAACACUUCGCGACCAGUUAAUCUAUCCACUUACAGCAGAUCAGGAAACCGAACCACUUAGCUAUGGUGGUAUGGUGGAUCUUCUAAAGAAUGUUGAUCUAGAAUACUUGCUAGAACGCUACCCUCUCGACAAGGAAGUUAACUGGGGUGAUGAGUUGUCUCUUGGUGAGCAACAGAGAUUGGGAAUGGCGAGAUUGUUCUACCAUAAGCCCAAGUUUGCCAUCCUGGAUGAGUGUACUAGUGCUGUGACGACUGAUAUGGAAGAACGUUUCUGCAAUAGGGUCCGAGCAAUGGGCACGUCAUGCAUAACAAUAUCUCACCGACCAGCAUUAGUUGCUUUUCAUGAUGUCGUUUUGUCCUUGGAUGGUGAAGGAGGGUGGAAAGUUCAAGAUAACAGAAAUGGCUCCUUCCUUCCUACUGAAUCGGAGUUUGAUGCAUUGAAGUCAUCAGAAACUGACCGCAAAUCUGACGCACUUGCUGUUCAAAGGGCUUUUAGUGCUAAUACAAAGGAAAAUACUUUAUCGGGCCCCAAGGAACAUUCUUAUUCAACACAGGUCAUAGCUACUUCCCCCAAUAUGGAAAUAGAAUCCACAGAACAGCCACAUCUGAUCCCACAAUUGCAGUGCUCGCCGAGACCUUUGCCUGUUAGAGUUGCUGCAAUGUCUAAAAUACUGGUUCCUAAAAUCGUUGAUAAGCAAGGGGCACAAUUGCUUGCAGUUGCAGUACUUGUACUAUCUCGGACUUGGAUAUCUGAUCGUAUAGCUUCACUGAAUGGGACUAGUGUUAAGUAUGUCCUGGAGCAGGACAAGGCAGCCUUCAUUCGAUUGAUCGGGACCAGUGUAAUGCAAAGUGCUGCAAAUUCAAUUGUGGCACCAUCACUGAGACACCUUACUUCAAAGAUUGCUCUUGGAUGGCGAAUUCGCAUGACCAACCAUCUACUUGCAUAUUAUUUGAAAAGAAAUGCUUUUUACAAGGUAUUUAACAUGACAGGCAUGGAGAUUGAUGCAGACCAAAGAAUAACACGUGAUGUGGAGAAGUUGACGAAUGAUCUUGCUGGCUUAGUUACUGGAAUGGUGAAACCAUCAGUUGACAUUCUUUGGUUUACAUGGAGAAUGAAGCUUUUAUCUGGGAGAAGAGGAGUUGCUAUUUUGUACGCAUACAUGUUGCUAGGGCUUGGUUUUCUAAGAGCCGUUUCCCCUGAUUUCGGUGAUCUUUCAAACCAAGAACAAGAACUUGAAAGUUCUUUCAGGUUCAUGCACUCAAGACUGCGGACACAUGCUGAGUCAAUUGCUUUCUUUGGUGGUGGAUCAAGGGAAAGAGCUAUGGUUGAAGCUAAGUUCGCAACUUUGCUCAACCACUCGAAGAUUCUUUUGAGGAAAAGAUGGCUUUAUGGUAUAUUUGAUGAUUUCGUGACGAAGCAGCUGCCUCAUAAUGUGACAUGGGGAUUGAGUCUGUUAUAUGCUUUGGAACACAAGGGGGACCGAGCUUUGACUUCAACACAAGGAGAGUUAGCACAUGCCCUGCGGUUCUUGGCAUCUGUAGUGUCACAAAGUUUCAUAGCUUUUGGUGACAUUCUCGAGUUGCAUAAGAAAUUCCUUGAACUUUCUGGUGGUGUCAAUAGGAUCUUUGAACUCGAGGAGCUUCUAAAGGCAUCUCAAAGCAAUGCUGUCAUGCCCUCAAAUGUUAUCAGUGUGCCAUCUGAAGAAACUAUUUCCUUCCGUAAUGUGGAUAUUGUGACCCCAUCGCAAAAGCUACUGGCUAGCCAAUUGUCUUGUGAUGUGUCUCAAGGAAAAAGCCUUCUUGUCACUGGUCCAAACGGCAGUGGCAAGAGUUCCAUUUUUAGGGUGCUCCAAAGUUUGUGGCCUGUAGCUUCCGGAAGGCUCACCGUGCCAUCUGAAGGGAUAUUUCACGUUCCUCAGCGCCCAUAUACUUGCCUUGGAACCUUGAGAGAUCAGAUCAUAUAUCCUCUCUCACGUGAGGAGGCAGAGUUGAAGAUGCUUACAUUGUCCAAAACAAGUGACAGGUCUAGAUCGCUGGACGAUCACCUGAGGACAAUUCUAGAGAAUGUUCGCUUGGUCUAUCUUCUCGAAAGAGAAGGUUGGGAUGCUACUCCCAAUUGGGAAGACAUUUUGUCCUUGGGAGAACAGCAGAGGCUAGGCAUGGCCCGCCUGUUCUUUCACUCUCCUAAGUUUGGCAUCCUUGACGAGUGCACCAAUGCUACGAGUGUCGAUGUCGAGGAGCAUUUGUACAGGCUAGCAACUGACAUGGGUAUAACUGUGGUCACUUCCUCCCAAGCCUGCUCUCAUACCCUUCCAUUCGUUGGAACUGAAACUCAUCGACGGCGAAGGGAAGUGGGAGCUGUGUUCAAUCAACCACUAGUCACUGCCUGUCGCCCUAAUUUUUGA
Molecule: ribosomal RNA, 3993 nt
Filed under: Triticum aestivum (bread wheat)
Lineage: Eukaryota; Viridiplantae; Streptophyta; Magnoliopsida; Poales; Poaceae
Description: partial small subunit ribosomal RNA
Source: RNAcentral